AGACUCUCAUCCACUGCGGCCUUCAGACAGGGGCCAGUCGAGGGCGAGGGGACCUCAACAUACUGCAAGACACAGCGGGGGACCCAGGAGCUGAUUCCAGGAAACACAAGAUCGGAAACCUGGGCAAAGCAGGGAUCCGGGGUCACUUUACAGGGGGAAGCAAGCGGACGUCACACUGACCCGAUGGAGGUUCAUUGUGCAACCUUACAAUGGCGACAUUUACCAUUUACCAUUAAAAAAGGAAUUUAGAUAAAUGUUGAGAAGCUGCGUGAGUUGAAGCAUGUUGAAGAUCCUUUCGGAUGGCGAGAAUGCCAUCAAAAAGCCGUCGGGCCAUGAAGCAGCACAUCUGGCAAAGCGGCUCUGACUCAUGGAGCCCUUAGUCUCUCUAGCGUGCUUUGACCCGUCUGUCACAGACGCAGAGAAAAUGGGCAUGGUCCAAAAAUGUGAGUGAAAAUGAAGGAACUGAUGAACCGUCUCACAGACUGGAUGCUGAAUGACACAAAGAAAUCACUGUGCUCAUUUGUCACCAGCAACACAAAGAAAUUCCUCCAAAUUCGAGGACUUAAUGGUUCAUUUCUGACAUCAUCUCCUGCUACAUGGAAAGGCGAUCAACAUUACAAAGCUGCCCAAGGAACUGUUACCCUGACAUUCACCAAUAACAGUGCAGAAAGUGGCAUGAAAUUGAUCCAGGAAAGACGAGGAACAGAAGCAGGUCCUGUUCCAAGUCGUACAGAAACUUUGGCAUCAGUGUCCUGAUCCUAGCAAGAAUGCUGGAAAAAGACUGGGCUGUCAGAUGGAAGAGGCCUACCUGAAUGACAUGCUGACAAGUUUAUUUGCUAAUACUCCAUUAAUUAUGCGUUGAGCUUCACUGAUAAUUGACAGUCUUUGCUGAAGCCUGGGCGUGUAGUUUGUUGGGUUAUGAAGACUAUGCUGUAUAUUGACUAAUGUCUAUCAGGAAAAACUGAACUGCAACAUUUUUUUAUUAAUUAUUUUGGACAUUCUGUUGUUAAUUUAUUUUGCAUAUUUAAUUAAUUUCAUGUGGUUGCUGUGACAAUUAUUUCGACUAAAUAAUAUGCAUGACUGACUGAUUGUUUCCACACCGCGAAUAUCACCUGUAAUGAUGAAAGCUUCAGGUAGUCUGUGUAGCCCCUAAAUAUUACACAAUUUAGUUAAUUUUUCCAUCUUUUUGUCUUACAAAUGGGGGGUGAGAAUGCAGCCAUCUCUGGCAUCAUUUUCAAGAAAAAGUUUUUGUGCCAACCUAAUGCACACACACAAGCACGUGCACACACACUCACACACACACACACACACACACACACACACACGGGUC
Molecule: non-coding RNA, 1330 nt
Organism: Paramormyrops kingsleyae
Lineage: Eukaryota; Metazoa; Chordata; Actinopteri; Osteoglossiformes; Mormyridae
Source: RefSeq, a predicted model, not a curated record